This is a small nucleolar RNA of Zingiber officinale, 144 nucleotides long. RefSeq annotates it as small nucleolar RNA F1/F2/snoR5a. The record is from RefSeq and is a predicted model, not a curated record. The transcript has a single exon. Lineage: Eukaryota; Viridiplantae; Streptophyta; Magnoliopsida; Zingiberales; Zingiberaceae.
UGAUGCCACGAGGUAUCUGGUGCUCUGUUAAUUUAUGGCUGAGCACCUCGUGAAAAUGGCAGAGAUGGAAGGGAGGACAGGCCUUGCGACACUGGUUGCUCAUUUUGUAAGUGUGCUUCCUGUUACUAAAUCCUGUUCACAUCU